AUUCCAUGGUGAGGACAGCUUCUGGUGUACCCCUUAAGACGUUCCCAGGCUUCACUGAGAGAUUGCCUUGCCUAAAGGAAUUGAUAUCACUUUUGAACUU
This is a small nucleolar RNA of Arabis alpina (gray rockcress), 100 nucleotides long. It matches the Rfam family "Plant small nucleolar RNA R71". From Rfam's summary of the family: R71 is a member of the C/D box family of snoRNAs containing the C (UGAUGA) and D (CUGA) box motifs. Multiple nearly identical copies of this snoRNA have been identified in Arabidopsis, and it is thought to function as a 2'-O-ribose methylation guide for 18S ribosomal RNA. NCBI's taxonomy places the organism in Eukaryota, Viridiplantae, Streptophyta, Magnoliopsida, Brassicales, Brassicaceae. The record is from Rfam.